GGCUGCUUUGAGCAUUAAGGGAAAACAAUAACCUGAACAUGAAAAAUAAUAUAAUGAUGAGAGUAAAUUACACGAGUUGUCCUUGAUGCAAUUGCCAAAAUGCAUAUUUAGUCCUUAUUUUUAAAAUUAACUCGGACUGUCUCUUAUUUAUUUAACAUGAAAUGACUAUAUUGACCUUAUCAAAUUAUUUUUUCAUUUAUUGUGAUUUAUCAAUUAUUAUUUAUUAAUUAUUAAUUUGAAAUUUUAAAAAAUAAAAAAGGACCAAUCUUCAACUUAACAUCAGCCGUCACUCUCCACCACCACCAUUGAUGAACCCUAGAUCUAAAUAUCAACCAUCAAAAUUCAAACCCUACAUUCAUAUAUGAAACUCAACCUUUCCUGGAUAGUGAACCCAAUCAGAUCUACAUUUAGAUCUGAAAUUUAAACCCGUUGUGGAGUAGGGAUUACCGGAGAGAAGGGGAUUAGAGAAGAAGUAGAUUCAGAUAUGAGAAGAAGCAAAUUCAAAUCAGAGUAGAAGCAGAUCCAGAUCAGAAACUCGAAUCCAAUAAUGACCAUCAAUCUCCACCACCGCAACCACCAUCUCUGAAACUUGGACCCAAAUCAGAGGGUGGUGGUGUUGUUACUAAAUCUCUAUGUGGUUGCGUUCUCUCUCCAAGACCAUAAAACACGUCUUUGGAAGCGAUGUUGACAUCUAUAAGUACUGGUAUUUGAAGACCAAGGAGUUGUAGGGUGAUGAUUGAUUAGAGGUGGAGUUGAAUAGCUUCUCGUUGUUUGAUUUCCUUCCCAGAGCAAAUAAGAACGGGGUCGAGACGCGGCUGAAGUUUAACUCACCUCCGGAGAAAUCGGAAGCGGUGAUCGGGCUUUUCCUUGACCGGCCGACGGUUUAAGUCAAUGAAGUCGGAGGUCGGUCUGUUGUGCAUCCCUUAUGUUUUUAUAUAUANUAUAUAUAUAUAUAUAUAUAUAUUAUAGAAAAUCGUUUAAAGAAAAAUAAAUAAAUCAAAAAUGAAUAAAAAGGACAUAAUAGUUGUUUCAAGUCUUGUAAAGGAUCAAACGUGCAAAUUUAAAUUAACGAGGAAUCACACAUGUAGCUUUUAACCAAAAGAGUGGCGGUCUGUGUUAAUUUUUAAAAAAUAGGGACUGAAUAUGUCUUUUGAUACCGGCACGAGGGACAAUUCGCGUAAUUUACUCUAAUGAUGAUGAUAGAUAAUAAUCACUUUUUCUAAUUAACAUGCACACCAAAUUAUACAUAUAAUUAAUUCCCAUAACAUUGAGAAACAAUAUAGUAUUGUUGUUUCAGAAAUUUGCCACCAUAUUUUCAAGAUUUAGCACUUUUGGUCCUUACUCUUUAUUAAAUUGGUGUGUUGACCUCAUAUUUUUGAGAUUUGCCUCUUCUGAUCCCUACUUUUUAUAACUUCCUACUCUCUGAAGGUAUGUAUACAAAUUUUCUUUAUAAAAAUUAUAAAAUGAUUGUGUUGAUAAACAUUAUUUCAUUGUGAUGGCCCCAUAUUUUUGAAAUUUGCCUCUUUUUGGUCCCUACUAUUUAUAACUUCCUACUCUGAAGGUAUGUAGGCAAAUUUUCUUUAUAAAAAUUAUAAAAUGGUUUUGUUGGUAAACAUUAUUCCAUAUGUACACUAACCUCCCUUGCCUGCACUAAAAUGCAGAGUUUUUCCUAGUUGAAAUUAAAAAACAUAUGUUAAAAGAUAUCUUGCAUGUCAUCUUCCCUCACCUUUAAAUCUAUAUCAAGAAGGUUAACUAAAUAAAACAAGCAAAAAAUAAUUUCAAAUGAGAAUCAUAAAGAGAAAAUAGUUCCAAAAUUAAUCAUUACAAAAGAAAACUAUCAAAACUCACAUGAUAUAGAUAUAGUCAACACACCGUAGCAACAAAUUUCAUCUAGAGUGGAAUUUAUCAUGUGUUGAGUUUACUAGUAAGAAGAAUAAAGAAAAGAAAAUAAUAUUGUCAUAAACAUACGUUCCUAAUUACAAAUAUAUAAUUUAGUAUUUACCCUGUUGGAGGGCUGAUUAAGUUGGAAAGGCAACUACAUACCCGUUGAAUCCUUAAAAGUCCCAUUUUAAGAAACAAAGCUCCAGGUCAAGUUGAUCCGCUGCAAAUCAAGAUAUAAUUUCAGAGUUUGCUUUGAUGCUAAUAUUUUAAUGUAAACAACAAUUUCCAAUUAUGCCCUUGGAAGGCAAGAGAUGUGUACGAUAGGCAUUACUUAACGGUGUGCGAAAUCUUGUAGAAAUUAGGUUUUAAAUCACUAUUUGCUGCAAAUUCACAUGUCAUUUCUCAGCCUUUUAAUGUAUUCAUUUGUCUUUGAAACAAAGGAAAACAAUCAAGGUCACCCUCUUUAAUUUAUCAUCUCAAGGUUGACCAAGUUUCACGAGUUACAGUUCCUACAAAAUGACAUCAUCAAUCUAUACAUGCUUGAAAGUUCCUUUACUCCAACAAGUAGUAUCAUCAUAAAGUUUGUUUAACUAUAUCAACAGGUUUUUAUUAAAUAAUAGGUAAGUAUGGAUUUCAACAAGUUUUUACUCCAAUACAUGUCUUAUAAGCAGAAUGCAGAACAAUGGUUUUGAACUUUCUUCUUAUAAAGUCAUCUAAGUAGUAAUCAUUCUCAUUGCAUCAACAGAGAGAGAUAUGGACAUGGGUGGUCUGGACAUUAUAAAUUUGUUCCUAUUAGAGAGUGUUAGUGAUCUCCAUGACUUACAAACUCCACAAAAUGCAUGAAAAUCAACAACUACAAGUUGCAUCAUCAUGGUUCUGAUCUCUAUUCAUACUCCUUGUCUUACCCAUUUCUAGUUUUCUAUACAUGCAAAAAAGAAAUUUGCAUUUGAGAUUUUGUAUAUGCCAUUUCCAAAUAGAAUACAAAGGUUAUAAACAGGGGACUUUCAUACACAUAUAAACUUAGACAAGAAAAAUUGAACUUUAUGAAAACAAGAUGCUAAAGUAAUGAGCCAUGCAGCAUUAACAAUAGUCUUUUGUUGUAUGAACAAAGAAGCAAAAGGAAGGAGUCAAAAUUGGUUUGUUGAUAAUGUAAAGCUAUAUAAUUUGUAUUGGGUUUUUUCUAUUGGUUCCUAAGGUUUUUGGUUUGUAGCUGAUUAGGAAAAUAAUUUAGAUAAGCACAUUUCUAGUUUUAGUUUUAAUAUGAAUGUUCCAAUAACUACUAAAAAGGGGGAUAAGAAAAUGUAUUCCUCUCCAUGUUUCUAAAUACUUAUCUACUGAACAGGAGUUGAUAGGAAAAUAUAUUGUUAUAUGAUCAUCUAAAUCCUCUCAAAUCAGUUAUAAACAAACAAUAACAAGAUGUUCUUAAAACCAAUUAACCUAAUUAAAAACUGAGAAUCAGAAAAUUAAGCAGAUAGCUAAUUGGUUGAACUAAAGAAGGUUUUAUAGUUCUAUGUGCCUGGCUCUAGCUACCUAUAAAAAUUACCUCCUCACGAGAUAUUGUUCUUAUGUACUUGAUAUACUCCAUCUGUUUUUUUUUUUUUUGUAAUUCAAACCCUUCUUAAAGCCGCUCACCUGAUCAUGAACGGAAAGGUAAGGAUCGGAACUGAAAUCAAAGUCAAAAACCAUAAAUAAUGUUAAUGAGGCAAUACAUCAAACACAUUAUGUGCACUUACAAACCACAAAUGAAAUCAUCAACAAAGAAAUUGUCACACCCCCAAACCAAGGAUGGCGGAAACGUCCGGGGGUGGAGGACUUCAUGUAUAGCAUCAUAACCACAAUUUCAAUAGUAAUUUAAGCAAACACAACCAACAUAUAUAUAAUUGAAAAGGUUACAUCACUUGUAUGAAUUACAUGUUUCAAAAUCAAUUACAAUAUGUUGACAAAAUAUGAAAAGUUUGACGCCUUAACGUCCCAUCCUCAAAAGCACUUGAUUACCUGUUUAGUGAUUUCCUGAGAAUACAAGUUGUUUGAAAAGUGUCAACACAAAGGUUGGUGAGUUCAUAAGUUUUUGCUAUAAAACCUAAUAGAAGUCUUUCUCAUGUAAGUAUCACGUUUGUUUCAGAAAAAUUCGAUAUUUUCCUUAAAAUCCGUAUAAUGUAGCCUUAUGACCAAAGACCAAAAUGUAUAAGAAAUCAUUCUUACUUAGUAGACUACUGUGAGUUUGAAUUGAUAUAAAGAGUGAAUUUAAAUCAACAUAAAACCUACUUAGGUUUUAUAAAAUCCCAUAAACUUUAUGAAUUGUUAUCUCCCUAUGUGAGUCGCUAUAAUCAUACUAUGACUAUGUGAACCUGCCACGACGUUUCUCAGGUGUCGCGAAAAUGAAAUGACAUUUGUCACCCGUAGACCUGCAGGUCCCACUGUAGCUAGCAGCAAGGUGUGGGGUGUCAAACCCAAUAUAGAUCUAUAUACAAGUAUCACGUUCUCCCUCCAGGAGACUCUGAUUAUAACUACCA
This 4394-nucleotide long non-coding RNA is filed under the name Lactuca sativa (garden lettuce). RNAcentral's name for it is "long non-coding RNA (LSAT_LNC000550)". Lineage: Eukaryota; Viridiplantae; Streptophyta; Magnoliopsida; Asterales; Asteraceae. The record is from RNAcentral.